AACGAACGCUGGCGGCAUGCCUAACACAUGCAAGUCGAACGAGACCUUCGGGUCUAGUGGCGCACGGGUGCGUAACGCGUGGGAACCUGCCCUUAGGUUCGGAAUAACUCCCCGAAAGGGGUGCUAAUAUCGGAUAAUGUCUUCGGACCAAAGAUUUAUCGUCUUUGGAUGGGCCCGCGUUGGAUUAGCUAGUUGGUAGGGUAAAAGCCUACCAAGGCGACGAUCCAUAGCUGGUCUGAGAGGAUGAUCAGCCACACUGGGACUGAGACACGGCCCAGACUCCUACGGGAGGCAGCAGUGGGGAAUAUUGGACAAUGGGCGAAAGCCUGAUCCAGCAAUGCCGCGUGAGUGAUGAAGGCCUUAGGGUUGUAAAGCUCUUUUACCCGGGAUGAUAAUGACAGUACCGGGAGAAUAAGCUCCGGCUAACUCCGUG
This 433-nucleotide ribosomal RNA is filed under the name uncultured bacterium. Its description in RNAcentral is "partial 16S ribosomal RNA". It matches the Rfam family "Bacterial small subunit ribosomal RNA", at positions 29 to 507 of the family's 1533-position model. The record is from RNAcentral.